Non-coding RNA from Pelobates cultripes (western spadefoot toad), 478 nucleotides. Lineage: Eukaryota; Metazoa; Chordata; Amphibia; Anura; Pelobatidae. The record is from the annotation of a GenBank genome assembly.
GGGGGGUGAGAAAGAGAGAGAAAUAAGGGGGGGUGAGAGAGAGAAAAGGGGGGGUGGGUGAGAGAGAAAGGAGGGGGGGUGAGAAAGAAAUUGGGAGGAGGAGAAGGAAAUUGGAGCAGGAGGAGAGAUUGACAUUCAUCACAUACACACAAUGCACCCCUUGCACACAGAAAAACACACAAACACACAUACACAAGCAAUGCAACCGUUACACACAAUGCAUCCCUUACACGCACAGAAACACACAAUGCAUUCAUUACACACACUCAAUGCACCCCUUACACACAUUCAAUGCAUCCCAUACAUACACAGAAACACACCUUGCAGUCCUUACACAUACAAACACAAUUUCACACAAUGCAUUCCUUACACACAUAUCAGGACAUCCCCUACACACUCCACCCCCUGUGAACAAACUCAUUGGUGGAACAUGAAGGUGGACCCUGGGACCCAGACCUUGAGCUGUGUAAAGGACCCC